Molecule: long non-coding RNA, 2267 nt
Organism: Cyanistes caeruleus (blue tit)
Lineage: Eukaryota; Metazoa; Chordata; Aves; Passeriformes; Paridae
Source: Ensembl
CUGAUAUAUCCUGGCCUCAUCCAUAGAACUAAACUUUCUUAACAUCCAAAACAUCACCCACCUGGUCUCUCUGAAAUGAGCCCAUGUCUCAGGAAUUGUCUGGGAAUUGCCUAAAAUAAUUGUGGUUUGUUCAGUGAGGACACUGGCAGGGGCUGCUCCAUGCCCCACUUCAUGCCCCAGCUGAGCUCUGGAGCCUGUGCCCUUGCCCUAGCUCAAAGUACCAGGACAGGCAAAACCCACUUGUUUAACUCUUAUGUCUCUAAACACUUCAAUUAGAUGCUUAGACUGCUCUAAUUAGGGUUUUUUUCCCCAGAUCUUUCCCAAGAAGGGAGAAAAGGAUGAUAUCCCAUCAGGCUGGGUGUCACAUCAGCCAUGAGAUAAAUGGGCUGCCUUGCACCUGUGGCUGGUGUGGGUGUUGGUCUGCUCAGAGCUUGUUGCAAACCUUCCUGCCAGUGGUGAAACACCACUCCUGGAGAUUCUGCAGCCAGAGAUGAAAUACAGGCUAUGUGACCCAUGAUAAAUCUCUUCUCCUUCCUGUAGUGUUUGGAAUCCCCCACUUUUUGUACUAAAGGAGCAGAAAGCUGCUUGGGCUGUGAGGAAAACUCUGCAGAAUGCUGUACAUAUCCAUGCAUUAUCCAGUUUUUCUGCAAAAUAAAGCAAAUCUUGUCCAUAUAUCUGAAGAUAUCCAUACAUUAAAGAUUAUCACUGCAUCUGCAAAGAAUUAUGCAUACAGGACAAGGAAAAAAGGAUUUAUAGAAUCAUCGAGUUAAAAAUGCCAAAAGAUUUUUCCUCCAAAAGAAUGAAUAUUCCCUAUAAAGAAGGAGGAAUGAGAGCCUGGCUCUAUGACAUUAAUUUAUAAUAAUUCCGAAUCCCUAUCUGACAAAGAAUGCUCAGCAGAGCAUUUGCUUUAAAUGACAGCUUGAAAGGGUUUCCCUCUGGAUCAUGUAAACAGGAAGAUCCCCAGCCUGUCUUCUUCCUGUCUCAAAAAUUGUGAACUGAUCAAGGAAAAAUCAUGGAAGUGAAACAAACCUUUCCCCAAAUGUUUCAAGCCUAUUUUCUCCAUGCAAUGCCUGUCAAGUUCUUAGUAAAGCUGAAGGGAUUUAUUUGAAUUUGAAUCUGAGCAAGUACUGAACACCUCAUUUCAUCUUAAUUGCAUGGAUUGAAUUCUAUAGCUAAAAUGGAACUCAUAGUUGUUAAGUAAACUGAAAUGCUCCUGUAAUUGAUUGCAAUGAACCUGCAUGGUUUGUGUUUUAUUCAAAAAGAACUGGUGGUAUGUCUUGUUUUCUAGUGGAAGGUUCCCUGCCCAUGGCAAAGUGAUUGGAACCAGAUGGUCUUUGAGGUCCUUUUCAACACAAACCAGUCUGUGAAUCUAUGAGGAAAAAAAUAUCCAAAUAUAAUUGAUAUAACCAAACAAGAGCUAAAUGCCACCAAGAUUAAAAUAUUAUAACAACCAUGGACUGGAGCAGCCUGGGGCAUGUUUGUUGUAAAACAAAUAUCCACAUACAUAUGCACAACAUUUACUUUCAUAGAAGGUGUCCAUUUAGAGAUUUAUAACAUGCAGAAAACCUCCCAUUUCCAAUGGAAAAUUCAAAAUCCAUGAGAGCCUGGUAGGUGAGUCCAAUCCCUGUGCACACUCCCUGACCAUCUCUCUUGCUGUUGCACAGUUGGAUUUGCAGCUCCCAGCAGCUACAGAUCCCACUGGGAAUGUGCAGACCCCAAUCCCCAGGUCCCAUUCAGUGUUUCAAAUAUAGCAGCUUAUAACUGUGAUCAUCUGCAUUUUAUAUUGGGAACACACUCACCAAGGACAUGACCUGAUUUUUGUUAGGAGUAAAGGGGGACAUCAAAACUUCUUCCUCUGCUGCUGCUCCUUCUGCCUCUGUAACUUCACUGAGGUCACGAGAAGUUGGACAGGAUCAUAGAGCUGAGCUACCUAAAUGGCAUGGUGCUAAAAAUAUAUUUAUUCAGAAUGGCUAAUUAAGGUGAAUGACUACCAGUCUUCAUUAGCACUGAAGUGGUGUUAAUUUGAUUAGACUUCUGGCCUAGAUAGACUUGCAAGGCUUUAUGUUUCUAAUGCAAUUUCUCUAACGAGAAAGCAUUUUAGAUGAAAUGUUACCCAUCAGCGUCUUUCUUUGUAUAAAUAUUAAGUAGACAUUUGCCUUUUAGUGCUCUUAAUUUUUAGGGAUCAGGGAAACAGUGAAGAUGUGACAUCUGCAUUGCCUUGGGAUAUGGGGAGAAUGUGAGAAAAUAAACUUGCAAUUCUUGCUCCA